CCUGCAAUGAAGACAGUGCUUUGAGGCCAAAUUCGACAAAAUAUGUCAAGACUUCUAGAGGUGCAUACAAGCCAGACCCCAACACCCGGCUCCACCUGCCACACUUGAGAACAAGGAGGAGACAACGACUCCCAGUCCCAGCUCUGAGCAGAAUGAUCACCCAGGCAUACAGCAGUCUUGCCGCCUAGAUGAUCGGAGAGCCCCCCCCCGGCGGCAUUCUGCCUUGUCGAUGGAACUACAGGCACCACCAGGCAGCCGAGCAUACUGCAUCACACUACCACCAAACACCCACCUUAUCAACUCGCCGCUGCCUUCCUGCACGGCGCAAGGGAGGGCGCCGAGUCCCCAGUCACAAGCCGCCCCACCACAUGGCUCACAGCCGGCAACACCG
This is a non-coding RNA of Pelobates cultripes (western spadefoot toad), 391 nucleotides long. The record is from the annotation of a GenBank genome assembly. Lineage: Eukaryota; Metazoa; Chordata; Amphibia; Anura; Pelobatidae.